This is a small nuclear RNA of Oncorhynchus kisutch (coho salmon), 192 nucleotides long. Its record names the gene U2. It matches the Rfam family "U2 spliceosomal RNA". From Rfam's summary of the family: U2 is a small nuclear RNA (snRNA) component of the spliceosome (involved in pre-mRNA splicing). Complementary binding between U2 snRNA (in an area lying towards the 5' end but 3' to hairpin I) and the branchpoint sequence (BPS) of the intron results the bulging out of an unpaired adenosine, on the BPS, which initiates a nucleophilic attack at the intronic 5' splice site, thus starting the first of two transesterification reactions that mediate splicing. The record is from Ensembl. NCBI's taxonomy places the organism in Eukaryota, Metazoa, Chordata, Actinopteri, Salmoniformes, Salmonidae.
AUCGCUUCUCGGCCUUUUGGCUCAGAUCAAGUGUAGUAUCUGUUCUUAUCAGUUUAAUAUCUGAUACGUCCCCCAUAGGGGGACUACAUAUUAAAUGGAUUUUUCGAACAGGGAGUCGGAAAUGGGGCUUGCUCCGUCCGCUCCACGCAUCGACCCGGUAUUGCAGUACCUCCGGGAACGGUUGCAACACUU